This 517-nucleotide long non-coding RNA is filed under the name Rattus norvegicus (Norway rat). RNAcentral describes it as "long non-coding RNA NONRATT026604". Lineage: Eukaryota; Metazoa; Chordata; Mammalia; Rodentia; Muridae. The record is from RNAcentral.
GUUUUAGAGGAAUGAUAGUUAAAGAAAGCACAUUCCACAUGCUUUCACAGAAUUUGAUUCUAAUCAGUUUUAUUAUAUUAAAUCUAGCAAACAAAAAUUAUCCUUAAAAUUGAAUCUAAACUUUCGAUGUUUUAUGUUGUCAUAGUCUGCUUUUCUAUAUAAAAGUCAUAGAGAACAAGUUUUCAAAAACUAUAGUCUCACAGAUAUAUUUUAUAUUCUACAGGUGAACUUCUAUCAGGGGAUGGCUGGGAACCAUUCAACAUAGUAAUUCCUAUGAAUAAUUUUGGGUAGUUCGGGUUUAUGAGAAGACUAACAUAUUUGAUGAUACAGAAAGCUCUAAUGAGAAAUAAAAUUAUGGAGACAUUGGGAUACUAUUGAUUUAAAUAUGAUCAUCCUAAAAUACAUUUGAGUACAACUAUUAAAAUCAUUAACAUUUUUAGUCUUUCUUAGGAAUCAUGUCAAAAUCAUGAAAUCUUAGCAGUGUGUUUAGAUAUGAUCAAUAAAGCAUUUUAGCCUU